Camelina sativa (false flax) is the source of this 921-nucleotide long non-coding RNA. RefSeq lists it as uncharacterized. NCBI's taxonomy places the organism in Eukaryota, Viridiplantae, Streptophyta, Magnoliopsida, Brassicales, Brassicaceae. The record is from RefSeq and is a predicted model, not a curated record.
AACUGGUAAAAAGGGAUAAUUUUUAGUUUCACUUUAAUGCGAUGUAAUAAGGUGAACUCUCUGGUGGUCGGACCGGCUUUUUGGGUUUUAAGGAGUGGAAUCAUGUCACAUGGUCUGAUGGAUGGACGGACACGCGGAGACACGAGAUUACUUUUUUUGUUGGCUUUGAAAGCGAGUUUGUGAAACAGACGCGCGUUUGUGCGCGUUGUUACUGCUUUAUAUCGAAGAAGAUUCUUCUAUUCUGUAGAAUGCAAAAUGGAGUUUUGGAGCACGAUUUGUCUUAAGCUUGAUGAGGGAAAUGUCGAGUAAUGAUCAAGAUUCAAGAGAUGAUGGGGGAAGUUGUGGGUAACAUUAAGCGUCUGCGUUGCGUUACAUGUUGACAUCUGAUACCUCAAUUUACUAGCUCAUUGUCUAAUCAUAAGAUCAAAAACUCUUCUUUUUGGUAUGGUGAGGGGCUCUUGAGGAAUUUGAUGAGCCUGCUUCAGCUUUGGUUUGGAACUUGUUAAGUGAAAGUGACGAAAGAAGAGCUUCGUUGCCCCAGCCAGAUUUGGUUCUUAGAGGAGUUUUGGUGUUGGUGUUCCCAUUGACAUUCAGGAAGGAUGGGUUCAAAAACUUCAUUUUCAAGGUGAUGUUCGGUAGGGAUAGAGGUCAAACAAGUUUCUGAAUUCUGAUGGGCUCGGUUAAGGAUUUCAAAGUUGUCAUCAAGGCUUGUGUAGUCAAAAGAGCAUGAGAGGAAAAUAUAUUACUUUUGAAUGGAACAGAGUGGUCACAUAUUUGUGAACUGAUCAUCCCAGGUGACGAACAUUAUUACAAAAAGUAAUAAUAAUAUACUAGAUUCGGACCGCACGUACGUCCGAGAUUGAUUUAAAAGUUAAAGUUAUUAUUAGAUUUGCAGUAUAUUAUGUAUGUGCAGGAUCAUGU